UCAGAGUUUGGAAUCAUGGCUCAGGACGAACGCUGGCGGCGUGCUUAACACAUGCAAGUCGAGCGAGCCCCACCUUUCGGGGUGGUGUGCUAGCGGCGAACGGGUGAGUAACACGUGGGCAACCUGCCCUCAGCUCUGGGAUAACUCCAAGAAAUUGGGGCUAAUACCGGAUAUGACUGCUGACCGCAUGGUCUGGUGGUGGAAAGAUUUAUCGGCUGGGGAUGGGCCCGCGGCCUAUCAGCUUGUUGGUGGGGUAGUGGCCUACCAAGGCGACGACGGGUAGCCGGCCUGAGAGGGUGACCGGCCACACUGGGACUGAGACACGGCCCAGACUCCUACGGGAGGCAGCAGUGGGGAAUAUUGCGCAAUGGGCGGAAGCCUGACGCAGCGACGCCGCGUGGGGGAUGACGGCCUUCGGGUUGUAAACCUCUUUCAGCAGGGACGAAGCGAGAGUGACGGUACCUGCAGAAGAAGCACCGGCCAACUACGUGCCAGCAGCCGCGGUAAUACGUAGGGUGCAAGCGUUGUCCGGAAUUAUUGGGCGUAAAGAGCUCGUAGGCGGUUUGUUGCGUCGGCUGUGAAAUCCCGAGGCUCAACCUCGGGUCUGCAGUCGAUACGAGCAAACUAGAGUGUUGCAGGGGAGACUGGAAUUCCUGGUGUAGCGGUGAAAUGCGCAGAUAUCAGGAGGAACACCGGUGGCGAAGGCGGGUCUCUGGGCAACAACUGACGCUGAGGAGCGAAAGCGUGGGGAGCGAACAGGAUUAGAUACCCUGGUAGUCCACGCCGUAAACGUUGGGCGCUAGGUGUGGGGCUCAUUCCACGAGUUCCGUGCCGCAGCUAACGCAUUAAGCGCCCCCGCCUGGGGAGUACGGCCGCAAGGCUAAAACUCAAUGAAAUUUGACGG
RNAcentral lists this ribosomal RNA (904 nucleotides) under Blastococcus sp. RNAcentral's name for it is "bacterial SSU rRNA". It matches the Rfam family "Bacterial small subunit ribosomal RNA", at positions 1 to 916 of the family's 1533-position model. Lineage: Bacteria; Bacillati; Actinomycetota; Actinomycetes; Geodermatophilales; Geodermatophilaceae. The record is from RNAcentral.